AAACCAACAGGGAUUGCCUUAGUAACGGCGAGUGAAGCGGCAAGAGCUCAAAUUUGAAAUCUAGCACUUUCAGUGUUCGAGUUGUAAUUUGAAGAAGGUAUCUUUGGAGUUGGCCCCUGUCUAUGUUCCUUGGAACAGGACGUCACAGAGGGUGAGAAUCCCGUGCGAUGGGGAGACCAAUUCUUUGUAAAGUUCCUUCGAAGAGUCGAGUUGUUUGGGAAUGCAGCUCUAAGUGGGUGGUAAAUUCCAUCUAAAGCUAAAUAUUGGCGAGAGACCGAUAGCGAACAAGUACAGUGAUGGAAAGAUGAAAAGAACUUUGAAAAGAGAGUGAAAAAGUACGUGAAAUUGUUGAAAGGGAAGGGCUUUUGAUCAGACUUGGUGUUUAACGAUCUCUUCUCCUUGUGGGAGGGGCUCUUGUUUUAUACUGGGCCAGCAUCGGUUUGGAUGGCAGGAUAAUGACAUUGGAACGUGGCUUCAUUCGUGAAGUGUUAUAGCCUUUGUUGAUACUGCCUAUCU
This 516-nucleotide ribosomal RNA is filed under the name Nakazawaea molendinolei. RNAcentral's name for it is "Nakazawaea molendiniolei partial large subunit ribosomal RNA". It matches the Rfam family "Eukaryotic large subunit ribosomal RNA", at positions 62 to 582 of the family's 3401-position model. Lineage: Eukaryota; Fungi; Ascomycota; Pichiomycetes; Alaninales; Pachysolenaceae. The record is from RNAcentral.